UGGUGGGUAGUUUGACUGGGGCGGUCUCCUCCUAAAGAGUAACGGAGGAGCACGAAGGUUGGCUAAUCCUGGUCGGACAUCAGGAGGUUAGUGCAAUGGCAUAAGCCAGCUUGACUGCGAGCGUGACGGCGCGAGCAGGUGCGAAAGCAGGUCAUAGUGAUCCGGUGGUUCUGAAUGGAAGGGCCAUCGCUCAACGGAUAAAAGGUACUCCGGGGAUAACAGGCUGAUACCGCCCAAGAGUUCAUAUCGACGGCGGUGUUUGGCACCUCGAUGUCGGCUCAUCACAUCCUGGGGCUGAAGUAGGUCCCAAGGGUAUGGCUGUUCGCCAUUUAAAGUGGUACGCGAGCUGGGUUUAGAACGUCGUGAGACAGUUCGGUCCCUAUCUGCCGUGGGCGCUGGAGAACUGAGGGGGGCUGCUCCUAGUACGAGAGGACCGGAGUGGACGCAUCACUGGUGUUCGGGUUGUCAUGCCAAUGGCACUGCCCGGUAGCUAAAUGCGGAAGAGAUAAGUGCUGAAAGCAUCUAAGCACGAAACUUGCCCCGAGAUGAGUUCUCCCUGAGACUUAAAGUCUCCUGAAGGAACGUUGAAGACGACGACGUUGAUAGGCCGGGUGUGUAAGCGCAGCGAUGCGUUGAGCUAACCGGUACUAAUGAA
RNAcentral lists this ribosomal RNA (655 nucleotides) under Salmonella enterica subsp. enterica serovar Infantis. Its description in RNAcentral is "partial 23S ribosomal RNA". It matches the Rfam family "Bacterial large subunit ribosomal RNA", at positions 2259 to 2908 of the family's 2925-position model. Lineage: Bacteria; Pseudomonadati; Pseudomonadota; Gammaproteobacteria; Enterobacterales; Enterobacteriaceae. The record is from RNAcentral.